Molecule: RNA transcript, 587 nt
Organism: Helianthus annuus (common sunflower)
Lineage: Eukaryota; Viridiplantae; Streptophyta; Magnoliopsida; Asterales; Asteraceae
Exons: 4
Source: RefSeq, a predicted model, not a curated record
UUAACCCUAAUUGAAUCGUUAGUCUCUUUGCAUCUCCUCCAACCUCUCAACCACUAUCUCUAAAAAUUUCAUCACAGAUCUCAAUAAUAGUAUGUAUUCUACAUCAGGUGAUGAUGGGGGCAACUUAUCAUCAUCGAUCUCAGCACACAGUUGUCCACAACAAUCUGCAACCACAGAAGUGAUAAUUGAAAAGAGGGGAUUUGCAAAGAUCCAAUGGUUAUCUUGAAUCCAAUUGAGCCAAAUGUCUUAGGCAGCUUGCUGUAACCGACUCUUGUUUCCGUCCAUGAUGAAUUUGCCACAACUCAGAAGACUUGAGCAGAAGCAAGAAGCACUAUUCUACAAAAUAUGCAAUCACAAAGGCUACAGGAUGGCUUCAUCAUCUUCCCAACUUCAAGAACCAUUGCAUGCUCUACUGAUUUGGUCUACAAAGAAGACAUGGCGGAAGGAUGAAUGAGUGUACCGAAUUAUUACUUUGGUGUAUCAGAACCUAUCAUUUUGUACUAUUUUUGUCAACAUGUUGUUUUGGUGUUUAUAAAACUUUGUAUUUUAUGGGUUUGCGUUUUUAAUAUGCGGAUGUUAAUUAUCUA